This 525-nucleotide ribosomal RNA is filed under the name Beauveria pseudobassiana. RNAcentral's name for it is "eukaryotic LSU rRNA". The stretch from base 161 to 314 matches the Rfam family "5.8S ribosomal RNA". The record is from RNAcentral. Lineage: Eukaryota; Fungi; Ascomycota; Sordariomycetes; Hypocreales; Cordycipitaceae.
GAGUUUUCAACUCCCAAACCCUUAUGUGAACCUACCUAUCGUUGCUUCGGCGGACUCGCCCCAGCCGGACGCGGACUGGACCAGCGGCCGCCGGGGACCAUCAAACUCUUGUAUUAUCAGCAUCUUCUGAAUACGCCGCAAGGCAAAACAAAUAAAUUAAAACUUUCAACAACGGAUCUCUUGGCUCUGGCAUCGAUGAAGAACGCAGCGAAAUGCGAUAAGUAAUGUGAAUUGCAGAAUCCAGUGAAUCAUCGAAUCUUUGAACGCACAUUGCGCCCGCCAGCAUUCUGGCGGGCAUGCCUGUUCGAGCGUCAUUUCAACCCUCGACCUCCCUUUGGGGAAGUCGGCGUUGGGGACCGGCAGCACACCGCCGGCCCUGAAAUGGAGUGGCGGCCCGUCCGCGGCGACCUCUGCGUAGUAAACCAACUCGCACCGGAACCCCGACGUGGCCACGCCGUAAAACACCCAACUUCUGAACGUUGACCUCGAAUCAGGUAGGACUACCCGCUGAACUUAAGCAUAUCA